UACGUAGGGUGCAAGCGUUAAUCGGAAUUAUUGGGCGUAAAGAGCUCGUAGGCGGUUUGUCGCGUCUGCCGUGAAAGUCCGGGGCUCAACUCCGGAUCUGCGGUGGGUACGGGCAGACUAGAGUGAUGUAGGGGAGACUGGAAUUCCUGGUGUAGCGGUGAAAUGCGCAGAUAUCAGGAGGAACACCGAUGGCAAAGGCAGGUCUCUGGGCAUUAACUGACGCUGAGGAGCGAAAGCAUGGGGAGCGAACAGG
RNAcentral lists this ribosomal RNA (253 nucleotides) under uncultured bacterium. RNAcentral's name for it is "partial 16S ribosomal RNA". It matches the Rfam family "Bacterial small subunit ribosomal RNA", at positions 524 to 776 of the family's 1533-position model. The record is from RNAcentral.